GGUGCUGUGGCUUAGCAGGUAAAGCCGCUGCCUGCAGUGCUGGCAUCCCAUAUGGGCGCUGGUUCAAGUCCUGGCUGCUCCA
Transfer RNA from Oryctolagus cuniculus (rabbit), 82 nucleotides. It matches the Rfam family "tRNA". Rfam says of the family: Transfer RNA (tRNA) molecules are approximately 80 nucleotides in length. Their secondary structure includes four short double-helical elements and three loops (D, anti-codon, and T loops). The record is from Rfam. NCBI's taxonomy places the organism in Eukaryota, Metazoa, Chordata, Mammalia, Lagomorpha, Leporidae.